GACGAACGCUGGCGGCGUGCCUAAUACAUGCAAGUCGAACGCAGUGGGGACGGGUGAGUAACACGUGGGUAACCUCCCAUCAGAGGGGAUACCACUUGGAAACAGGUGCUAAACCGAUACUGAUGGAUGGACCCGCGGUGCAUGCGCUAGUUGGUGGGGUAACGGCUCACUAAGGCCACGAUGCAGAGCCGACCUGGGAGGGUGAGCGGCCAAACUGGGACGUAGACACGGCCCAGACUCCUACUGUAGGCAGCAGUAGGGAAUCUGCGGCAAUGGACGAAAGUCUGACCGAGCAACGCCGCGUGAGUGAAGAAGGUGUUCGGAUCGUAAAGCUCUGUUGUUAAGGAAGCGGUACUUAACCAGAAAGGGACGGCUAACUACGUGCCAGCAGCCGCGGUAAUAC
Molecule: ribosomal RNA, 403 nt
Filed under: uncultured bacterium
Lineage: Bacteria
Description: partial 16S ribosomal RNA
Rfam family: Bacterial small subunit ribosomal RNA
Source: RNAcentral